GAUGUGGCUAGAUCAAGUUAGGUGAAAGUCCAAUUUUUUGUGGGUCAGUGCUAGCCUGCGAUCCGGCCCAGAGUUUAGUGAUGCUGAGUAUGGUUUUGUGGUCACCUUAAAGGACAGUGCUUUCUGUGAGUACAUGGAGCUCCCCCGUGUCCUUGGUGUCAUUUAGUGCCUUGCCACUCCCUCUAGCAUCCCUCCAAAAAGUGGCCUAACUGCUGGUCCUGGGACCGAGAGCGCCCUCGGUGAAGUUUUAGCGAAUCACGGAGUCGCCAGUGUUUCCAGAGUUCCAUAGAGUUUUAGGGCUGCUCACGGUCAGGACCGCCAUGCCUCAGCGAAUCCCUGGUCUGUACAGCAAGACUCCUGAGCUGCUAGGAAGGGGUGCUGGACUGGGAGGUACGGGCUGGAGGGGCAAUUAGUAGUGCAUAUCGUAUUUUAGGAGAGGUGUGGCAGAUGGGUAGACAUGUACGCGUCCUAGGUGA
Molecule: non-coding RNA, 476 nt
Organism: Pelobates cultripes (western spadefoot toad)
Lineage: Eukaryota; Metazoa; Chordata; Amphibia; Anura; Pelobatidae
Source: the annotation of a GenBank genome assembly